This 73-nucleotide transfer RNA is filed under the name Haemodracon trachyrhinus. Its description in RNAcentral is "tRNA-Gly". The record is from RNAcentral. Lineage: Eukaryota; Metazoa; Chordata; Lepidosauria; Squamata; Phyllodactylidae.
ACCCCCUUAGUAUCUAAUGUAUAAGCGGCUUCCAACCACUAGGUCUUAGUAUUAUCAAAUCUAAGAGGGGGUA